Molecule: ribosomal RNA, 253 nt
Filed under: uncultured bacterium
Lineage: Bacteria
Description: partial 16S ribosomal RNA
Rfam family: Bacterial small subunit ribosomal RNA
Source: RNAcentral
UACGUAGGGGGCUAGCGUUGUUCGGAAUCACUGGGCGUAAAGGGCGCGUAGGCGGCCGAUCAAGUCGGGGGUGAAAGCCUGUGGCUCAACCACAGAAUUGCCUUCGAUACUGUUUGGCUUGAGACCGGAAGAGGUUAGUGGAACUGCGAGUGUAGAGGUGAAAUUCGUAGAUAUUCGCAAGAACACCAGUGGCGAAGGCGGCUGACUGGUCCGGUUCUGACGCUGAGGCGCGAAAGCGUGGGGAGCAAACAGG